RNAcentral lists this ribosomal RNA (332 nucleotides) under uncultured eukaryote. RNAcentral's name for it is "partial 18S ribosomal RNA". It matches the Rfam family "Eukaryotic small subunit ribosomal RNA", at positions 1470 to 1796 of the family's 1831-position model. The record is from RNAcentral.
CCCUUAGAUGUUCUGGGCUGCACACGUGCUACACUGGCAGGUUCAGCGAGCUUCAUGCCCUGAUCUGAAAGGAAUGGGAAAUCUUUUCAAAACCUGCCGUGCUUGGGAUAGAUGUUUGCAAUUAUUCGUCUUCAACGAGGAUUGCCUUGUAAGCGCACGUCAUCAGCGUGCAUUGAAUACGACCCUGUAUUCUGUACACACCGCCCGUCGCUCCUACCGAUUGAAGUUUUCGGUGAGUUGACAGGAGGAUUUUUUUGAAACUGGUUCGCCAGUGGAUUUUAGAUCCAAAUGCCAACGAAUCGAUGGCUUUAGAGGAAGGAGAAGUCGUAACA